This is a long non-coding RNA of Solea senegalensis (Senegalese sole), 867 nucleotides long. RefSeq lists it as uncharacterized. The record is from RefSeq and is a predicted model, not a curated record. The transcript is spliced from 13 exons. Lineage: Eukaryota; Metazoa; Chordata; Actinopteri; Pleuronectiformes; Soleidae.
CAGCUCUCUCUCAUUCGCUCCAUCUACACUCAACGGGUCCUUUGCAAGAUCCCAUGAGAAUGAAGAUGAAUGACACGUGGUUCCAAAUGGUCUCGGGUUUUGCUAGUCCAGUUGCUGCUCUGGCUGCAGGAAGGUUCAGAGAGAUGAACCCACAAAGGUGUGAUGAUGGUGACCUGACUGGCAGUAUGGGACCAGGUCUCCAUGCUUUUGGAUCUGGCUUGAAUGUUCUUGGCUGAGUUUCAGCAUACCCUGUCAGCUGAGAUUGUUACCCUCAUCUGGAGGACGAAGUGGUCGAUGGAUGUGCUUCCACAAGAAAAAGUGGACUGGUAGUUUGUCCAGGGUGGACCCUGCUGUGACCCUUGUGUGGAGGAUAAAGCAGUGGGUGGAUCUACUUCCACAAGACAAAUGUAUUUGAGCCUGGCUGAAGAAAUCAUCACAGCCUUUUGACCAAAUGGCAUCAUGAGCGGUUAUGUGGACAAGAUGUCUCACAAGAAUGAGGUUAUCGCCCAUUAAGGCCUGGCUGGGACUGGAUCGUUUGAGGAAAGUGCUGCAUCUCUUGGCCUUACCAUGGAAUGCAUCCAAGUCCUUGGGUUCAAGCAGUGUGAGCCAGCUCCUCUCUGGAGAGGAACAUUGUUCUAUACACAAGCCAUUUAUGGGUUGCAACAAGGAAGCAUGCUGGCAUUAUACACUGUCCAGACUUUGUGAUCCUGUAGAAAAUGGCGUUUAAAACCAUCUUUGGCAAAAGUGAUUUCAAUGUUCCUGGAGAUAUUGAGCUUGAAUACAUAUUCAAUGAAAUUUGAACAAUGGUUCUUUCAGUCUCCUUGCAUUACCAGAAUUGUUCAAUUUUUAAUAAAUAAUUGAAAUAAA